RNAcentral lists this transfer RNA (76 nucleotides) under Aeromonas hydrophila. Its description in RNAcentral is "tRNA-Asp". It matches the Rfam family "tRNA". Rfam says of the family: Transfer RNA (tRNA) molecules are approximately 80 nucleotides in length. Lineage: Bacteria; Pseudomonadati; Pseudomonadota; Gammaproteobacteria; Aeromonadales; Aeromonadaceae. The record is from RNAcentral.
GGAGCGGUAGUUCAGCGGUUAGAAUACCGGCCUGUCACGCCGGGGGUCGCGGGUUCGAGUCCCGUCCGCUCCGCCA